Sapajus apella (tufted capuchin) is the source of this 1785-nucleotide RNA transcript. It is a transcript of the gene named peptide deformylase, mitochondrial, with no coding region annotated. The transcript is spliced from 3 exons. NCBI's taxonomy places the organism in Eukaryota, Metazoa, Chordata, Mammalia, Primates, Cebidae. The record is from RefSeq and is a predicted model, not a curated record.
AUGGCUCCCAGCGCGGGGCAGCCACGGCUGCCUCGCCCAGGAAGGCCAAGGGCGGACUCGGGAGGCAGGAAGGCGCUCCCGGAGGACAGCGGAAGGGGCGGUGCUCAGGCCGGGUCUGGGCGUGAAGACGGGGAUCCUGCCGCGCGGCCUUGCUGUGCGCGCUCUGACGGCACUUCCCGGCGUGCCCCGCGCUGCAGCCGGAAGAGGCGGGCCUGGUUCCUGCUGCUGGGGUCGCCAUGUCCCGCAUGUUGGGUGCGCUGCUUCUUCGGCGGCUAUGGGUCCCCGUGGCCUGGGGAAGGGCAGCAGCCGGUGGUUCCCGAGCUUGCAGCUCCAAGGCCGCCCGUGACGGCGUCGAGGGUCCGGUGCUCCGGCGCUCCUACUGGCGUCACCUGAGGCGCCUGGUGCGGGGGCCGCCUGAACCGCCGUUCCUGCACGUGUGCCAGGUCGGGGACCCGGUGCUCCGCGGCGUGGCGGCCCCGGUGGAGCGGGAGCAGCUGGGAGGGCCCGAGCUGCAGCGGCUGGCGCAGCGGCUGGUGCAGGUGAUGCGGCGGCAGCACUGCGUGGGCCUGAGCGCCCCGCAGCUGGGGGUGCCGCGGCAGGUGCUGGCGCUGGAGCUCACCCAGGCGCUGUGUCAGAAGACCCCGCCGCGCCAGCGCGCGCUUCGCCAGAUGGAGCCUUUCCCUUUGCGCGUGUUCGUGAACCCCAGCCUGCGGGUGCUGGACAGCCGCCUGGUCACCUUCCCCGAGGGCUGCGAGAGCGUCGCUGGCUUCCUGGCCUGCGUGCCCCGCUUCCAGGCGGUGGAAAUCUCAGGGCUGAACCCCAAUGGAGAACAGGUGGUGUGGCAGGCAAGCGGGUGGGCAGCCCGCAUCAUCCAGCACGAGAUGGACCACCUGCAGGGCUGCCUGUUCAUUGACAGAAUGGACAGCAGGACAUUCACAAACAUCUGUUGGAUGGAGGUGAAUGACUAAAGCUUUUUACUGGGGCUGAGGAUUCCUGAGACCAAGAUGCAAACACUGCCACUUUUAGCUGGGCACAUCUUACUUGGCAUCAACUUGGAUGACUUGGCCGUGACAGGAAAGUGGACUGCCAAGGCACGCCAGACUGAGCUGGAGGAAGAUGUCAGAAAUGUUUACCCUGAAAUCAGUUAUGGACGAAGUGUUGCCUACAACUUGAGGAGAAAAAUCACCCCCAAAGGAGUGGUCGUUUCCUGACAAUUCUGUUUGGAGAUAGGUGGGGUAACUGCAUUCGUCUGCGGUAGACGUGAGUUCCUUGGACCUGUAUAAUCUCCCAAAGCCAAGAUUUGGUAAUGUAGUCUCCAAAUACCUGAAAGCUGUCUUUAAAAAUGCAGACCAAACCAGACACAGCUGCAGGAUGCGUCUGGCACACAGGGCUCCCAGUUUGCAGUCUCUGAUCUGCAGGCUGAAAAACGGCAAGAACUAUCCGGGUCCCACAGACACCCCCAGCCAAAUUUGUGAGGCCUUAAGGGGAGGAGGCCUUACAUACCUGACUGGAGAACAGGCCUGAGAACUGCAGUGUUCCUGCUUCCUACUCUGCUUUAGAGGAGACAGCAGAGAGAAAACCAGAGGUCUUUAACUGGAAGCAAGAGUUGCCCUUCAAAGAGUCCCAGGUAAGAGUCAAAGAUGAGAUCACUCCGGUGGCUCAAGAAGGGAAAAGGAUUUAUUAGACUAUUUCCAGGAUAGGGACCCAGGGCAGUGGCUGGGUUCAGUGUUCUCACAGUCAGAGGAAGAAAAGGCAGUGGUGAACACCCGCCUGUCUGCCUUCCCC